AGCAGCCGCGGUAAUUCCAGCUCCAAUAGCGUAUAUUAAAGUUGUUGCAGUUAAAAAGCUCGUAGUUGAAUUUCGGGGUCAGUAGGUUGGUCGUGCCACNGGUANGUACUGGUCUCACUGAUUCCUCCUUCCUGAUGAGCUGUAAUGCCAUUAAUUUGGUGUUGCAGGGAAUCUGGACUGUUACUUUGAAAAAAUUAGAGUGUUUAAAGCAGGCUAACGCUUGAAUACAUUAGCAUGGAAUAAUGAAAUAGGACGUUCGAUCCUAUUUUGUUGGUUUCUAGGAUUGACGUAAUGAUUAAUAGGGAUAGUUGGGGGCAUUAGUAUUCAAUUGUCAGAGGUGAAAUUCUUGGAUUUAUUGAAGACUAACUACUGCGAAAGCAUUUGCCAAGGAUGUUUUCAUUAAUCAAGAACGAAAGUUAGGGGAUCGAAGACGAUCAGAUACCGUCGUAGUCUUAACCAUAAACUAUGCCGACUAGGGAUCGGAUGAUGUUAAUUUUUUAAUGA
This 504-nucleotide ribosomal RNA is filed under the name uncultured Glomus. RNAcentral's name for it is "SSU rRNA". It matches the Rfam family "Eukaryotic small subunit ribosomal RNA", at positions 569 to 1077 of the family's 1831-position model. Lineage: Eukaryota; Fungi; Glomeromycota; Glomeromycetes; Glomerales; Glomeraceae. The record is from RNAcentral.